This 13359-nucleotide long non-coding RNA is filed under the name Trifolium pratense (red clover). Its description in RNAcentral is "long non-coding RNA (TPRA_LNC001374)". Lineage: Eukaryota; Viridiplantae; Streptophyta; Magnoliopsida; Fabales; Fabaceae. The record is from RNAcentral.
GCAGCAUUUAAUCCUGUCGCAAACGGUGUGUUUGCGUUGAGAUCAGGAAACAUGGAUGUGAUUGAAAUAGGACCCAUAAGUAAUCUAGAAUCUCCGGUAUCUGGAGCGAAGUCUACUUUGGCACAUUGAUCUCCUUUGAAAAAGAAUGUGUCAUUUCCAUCAUUGUCAAAGGAACCAUCAAUUCCAAUUGCAAAUGGUGUGUUUGCAAACAUUGGAAAUCCAUCAGCAAUAUGAAUUGGACCACCAAUAACUCUAGUUUUCUUAUCAAAUCCUCUACCAUAAUCCAAAACCACAUACUUUUCAUUAUUGAACACGUAACAUUGAUUACGCUGAGAUGAACGAAAUGCAGCAGUUACAAGGGGAGUUGUCAUUUUUUUUUUCUUCUAAUUGAAGGAUUAUUUAUUUCAAGGUAUAUAUGGAAGGAUAUGGAUGAAUUGUGUUUUUGUUUAAAUUUGUGAAUGACGCCUCUGUUUAUAUAGAUGUGGCAUUUGAUUAAUUAAAGGGUAAGUGGCUAUAAACAAUUAUAAUAAGGGAAACAUGUAGCAUAUAAUUAAUCUCAUAUUGUUUGUUUAAAGUCUAAAUGUUUAUCCAUCCUUAGUUUGGACAAACUAAAAAUGAAGAAAAAGAAUUUCCUCUAACAACCAUGUGUGAAUGUUAAUGCUAUGAAAACCAUGUGUGAAUGCUUACUUUGUUCAUACUAAAAAAUAUUUAUCCAUGCUUAGCUUACUUUGUUCAAACUAAAAAAAUAUUUAUCCAUGCUUAGCUUACUUUGUUCAAACUAAAAAAAUAUUUAUCCAUGCUUAGCUUACUUUGUUCAAACUAAAUAUGAAGAAAAAGAGUUUGCUUUAACGCUAUUAUUAUUAUUAUUAUUAUUAUUNNNNNNNNNNNNNNNNNNNNNNNNNNNNNNNNNNNNNNNNNNNNNNNNNNNNNNNNNNNNNNNNNNNNNNCCACGUUAAUAACUUAGUUAAGUUUCUAUAAACCAUGAUGUAAAAAAAAUGUUUCUAUAAACCAUCUUAGUAAAAUACUAAUUAAAUAAGUUAAAUUUAAAAUGCUCAAUAGAUAUAUUAAAUUUUGACCAACAGAAGUGAGUCAUUAUAUAUUUUAUAAAAAAAUUAAACUAAAUUAUUACUAAUAAGAAAUGACAAUAUAUAAUUAUGUUAAAACUCAGCGCCACACUCUUAACCCUAAUUUCUCAUCUUCUUUUUUUUGAUAAUUAGAGAGGAAUAAUUUAGGAUCAAUUUUGAUCCGGAAUUACCUCUCUUGAUUGUUUAUUUUUUUUUCCGAUUCAAUAAGUGAUUUACACAUAAUUUUAGGUUUAAUUUGAGUUUUUUCUUUUGUGAUUUCUUCGUCUGGUGUUGUUUUAUUCUCGUCUUAGUACGAGGUUGUUUGUUAUCUCGUCUUCGUACGGUGUUUGUUUUGUUUAAAUUUGCAGAUUUAUUUCAAUCCAAAUUCAGUGCAGAUUCAAUGAUUUUAGAGUCGUCAACGUUGCAGAUUCGGAUGCAUGACUAUUCCGGACACUUGGAUUUUAUUAUAUCAAUUGUAGGCUGUGUCAUAUUUGUAGACAUUGAGCCAUUUUAUGCUAUUAACUCGGAUGUUGUGAGCUCUUUUGUAGAUUCAUCUUUUUUAGUUUUUAGUAAAUUUGAAUAUGUAAUGAUUUCGAUUGAUGUACUAUGUCGAUUUGAAUGAAUGAAUAUCGUUGUUUUUUUCGUGAAAAAAAAUAAAAUUAUGUUGACCAAUUGUAUUAGGCAUAUUGAAUUCCAAUAAGUGGUCCUUUUGCAAAAAUGUACUCGAUCCAUAAAUACGCGUACUCAUUAAUUUAACAGGUUAUGUUGAUUAGUGUAAAAACCUAGGAAGCACAAACAUCUCUAUGAUUAGGCGUGUUGCGGUGUCUGACACUCGUAUGACACUCAUACGAUACGUGUCAGAUGGCUCAGAUAGGUGUCCAAAAAAAUUCAAUUUCGACACUCCUUUGAAUGGUGUCCGACACCUGUAAAGACACUCGUACGAUAAGUGUCGGACAAGUGUCCCAAAUAAAUUUGUUUUUUCUUUGUUUAUACUCUCCUUUGGCACAUAUCACACAUAUCUACAAGAGUUAAAAUGUGUCGAAACAACAAUAUUAANNNNNNNNNNNNNNNNNNNNNNNNNNNNNNNNNNNNNNNNNNNNNNNNNNNNNNNNNNNNNNNNNNNNNNNNNNNNNNNNNNNNNNNNNNNNNNNNNNNNNNNNNNNNNNNNNNNNNNNNNNNNNNNNNNNNNNNNNUUUGCAAAAAUGUACUCGAUCCAUAAAUACGCGUACUCAUUAAUUUAACAGGUUAUGUUGAUUGGUGUAAAAACCUAGGAAGCACAAACAUCUCUAUGAUUAGGCGUGUUGCGGUGUCUGACACUCGUAUGACACUCAUACGACACGUGUCAGAUGGCUCAGAUCGGUGUCCAAAAAAAUUCAAUUUCGACACUCCUUUGAUAGGUGUCCGACACCUGUAAAGACACUCGUACGAUAAGUGUCGGACAAGUGUCCCAAAAAAAUUUGUUUUUUCUUUGUUUAUAUUCUCCUUUGGCACAUAUCACACAUAUCUACAAGAGUUAAAAUGUGUCGAAACAACAAUAUUAAUCAAUGAGUGAUUGAAAAUAUUACAUUUUGAUUACAAUAUUUUUAGCUUUUUCAAAAAUAGAUGGAUAAUAUCAUAUCUUAUUUUAAAAAAAAAUUUAAAAAAUAAUUUACUCAACUUAGAUUUACAUGUAUAUAUUUUGACUCUCAAUUUAUAUCUUUUAUAAAUAUGUAGCGGUGUCAGUGUCCUAUAUUUUUUAUAUUAGCGGAGUCCGUGUCGUGUCGCGGUGUCUGUGUCGGAGUAUAUGCUUCAUAGGUAAUAACCCUUUAGUUUGUUUACAUAACAUUUAAAGGUAUUUGUGAAUUGCAAGAGUUGAAAUUCUAUUUUGAUUAUAAAAUAUUUAAAAAGGGGUUAUCAUAUAUAGUUUAUAAAUUGAACUGAAUUAAACCACAUUAAUAAUUUAAUUAAGUUUUUUUAUUUGUCAACCUGGAAAUUUUACCCUUAAGAUGGAUAAGUGAGAUGACCGGAGUUCAAACCCCGCCCCAUACAUAUAUAAUGCAAUAUCCUACCAACUAUAUUAAACUCAUGAGACAAUUCAAUUAAGUUUCUAUAAACCAUUUUAGUACAACACUAAUUAAAUUUUAAAAUAGUUUAAAUUUGGUUUAAAAUUGGUUCCCAAUCGGUUUACAUUUAUGAACUGCUUAAAAAAAAUAUUUUCACUAUAUAUCCAUUAAACAAAUAAUUUAAAAGUUGGUUUUUUAUGUCCAAUUUUAAAAAUUGUUUUUAUGGUUCCCACAAUCAUGAUCGUCCUUAAAAUUUUAGGCGCCCUCGAAAUUAUGAAAUUGCUGCCGGAUAUUUUUUAUAAGUGAUGAUUUUAAUUUUUUAAACUAUUAAAAAAUUCUUUUUUAGUAUUUGAUUUAGAGACCAGAUUAUUUUGACACUUUAGAGACUGAAUUAUACUAGUGUGUACUAAUUGAUAAGCUUAUUUCCAGCUUUAUACCUCUUGAAAGUGUAACUGCAUUCAUAUCUCAGCUAGGACAUAUGUCAGCAUUCAACAAACAAAGUGUUCUUUCAAUUUUGCAGUCUAAUUUUUUAGAUAUGUGCCCAUUUAAUGAGUAGAGAUCCUCUCCAUUUCCGAAAUGAAAUGGAAAUGUUGAUUAUUAUUGUUUUAAAGUAAAUCAAGGAUAUUAUUGUAUUAUUUUUUGACAAUACUUUAAUAAUUGUAUUGUCUAUUUUUUUAAAAAAAUAGAGAAAAUCUCCGCUCGCAUUUAAUGCCCAGAUCUGCAUAGGUGUGCCACUUGACAAGCUCCGUGAUUAAGGACACAUUGCACACUUCAGACGUGCUAGGGAGCUUCUCCUUAUUAAUAAAUAGCAAAUAUAUUUAAAUAAAUCCAAAUAACAAAAAUAUAAUAAUUAAAUAUAUUAAAUGCUAAUUUGUGCAUUUUAAUUUUUGAAGCAUUAAAUUUAUUGUAUAAUUAAAUGUUAAGUUUCUAUUUUGACAUAUCUUAAGAUGUGCCCUAAAGACACAUGUUUACGAGAGCCUUAAAUAAAAUAUAUCAAGAAAUGCAAAUAUGCUCAAUUGGUCACAUUAAGCAACACAUUGUAAAGUCACCGAUAAAAAUUCAUUAAAUAUAAAGUCAAUGAUAUUGAAGUAUGACCAACAGAACCAAGGGAAGUUGGUCAUCAUAAUACACGUCAUGUAAAUAAGUUAAUAUAAAAAUCUUGUCUGAUACUUCAUUUAUCAUACGAUGAGUGAAACAGUCGACUAUUAUGCUGGACUGGGCAAUGGGCUUAAGAGAAUAUCCAGUAAGCCCAAUUAGAGUAAAAAGAAUGAUAAGCCCAAAUCAACUAAACCCUAGAGCGUCCAAUAGGCGAUUAGAAGCUAAGGCGUGACUGGCAACCUUAAAGCAACGCCAAAGAGGGCGAAUCCAAUGCUGCGGUAAAUAUCUUCCCCUUCCUGGUAUCAACCGCUAACUUAAGAAAGAAGAAAUAAACUUCUGGUAACUGCCAUAGCUUGGAAACCAAGGCUCUCAUCCCUAUUUUCACGCUGCAUCACCGAAGAAGAUGCUAAGGACCGGAUUUUCAGGAACCCUUGCUUGGAGAAGAAGACUAGAAGCUCUAUAAAUAGCUCCAUACUUUCAUUGGUAAAGGGAUCGAAUUCUGACUUAUAAAAACUCCCAGGGUUGUUGGGAUUGAACUGAGUGUAAUCACACCAUUUGAUCAAUAAUACAAACCCCUUUGUUUUUUACCAGAACAUAUGCAUAUUCAUACAUAUUAUUUUUAUUAUAUUUUUUUUAUUGUUCCAUCUGGUCCCAUGUAUAAGAAAAAAUUAAUUUUUUAGAUUCAUUGUGAAAUUGAUAUAUCUAGACAAUUAUAUAGUCUAAAUACAUUCAUUCUUCAAGGAAUCUAAAAAGUAAAAAGUUUCUUAUAUAUAGGAUCGAAUGGAGUAAUAAGUUAAAAUAAAUAUUAACAUAUGAGAUGUUAGAUUCAGUUCGAUGAAUAUUUUCAAAAUAUCAAUUCUUUUAUAAUUUUUACUAUUAUACAAUUAAAUAUAUUAAUGGUUAAAGCUACACAUUGACAUAUGUGAAACAGUCAACUAACUCACUCAUUGUGGGACAGAGGGAGUAGAUAGAGUGAAAAGUUUAUCUUGUAAAUGGUUUUUAGGCAAAAAAACUCUUACUUCCCCUGUUCCUUUUAUGAAUUGGGUGGAUACCCUACUUUAAGCUGGAACCUUUAGAGUUUUGGAGGAGUCAAGUUGGAUCUCGAUAUAUAGGUCAGGAGGAUUGAAGGCGAUCUCUUGUUGAUUUGUCCUACCUAUAUAUGGUUGAUCCUUUUAUGUCUCAUUUUGAGGUGUAUUUUGUUCUAGUGCUGGUGCUAUUUAGAGGCUCUAGUUUAAUUUGAUAGUGGUGCCUCCUUGUUUCUUUGUAAUUUUAUUUGCUUUUUUGUUUUCCUAUGUUACGAUAGAGAUUGUAAGCUUCUCAUGGAGUGUACUUCUGAUACUUUUUUUUUUGGUACAUGAUAUAUACCUUUUUAUUUUCUUGAACUUUCUCUUGUAAUGCUUUUGUUUAUAUAUAAUAUAUUUAUCAUUAAAAAAAAAUNNNNNNNNNNNNNNNNNNNNNNNNNGUUGGUAUGUCUAAAGACCAUCAUCGUCUACCAUAAUCUCAUAAUUAGUUUCCACUAACAAUCAUGUGUGAAUGCUAACGCUAUUAUUACAACUUAUUGCUUAAAGCUUAUCUACUAUAAGUCCAUCUCCUAUAACUUCAUACAAAUAACGCUAUUACUACAACUAAUUGCUUAAAGCUUAUCUGUUAUAAGUUCAUCUCCUCUAACUUCAUACAAAUCAUAGGAAAAGGAUAAUAGAGACACCCUAUAAAGGGUACGAUUGAUCAAGAGAUCGAGAAGCAGCAAAACCUAGGAUAAACUAGGGCUAACCACACCACCACAAAAAACUUAGAAAUAAAAAGCGUUACGCGAAAAGCAGUAUACCAACAAAUCUUAUGUCAACCUGAACAAGUGAAAAAGGAAAGACACUUGUUUCCAAAAUGACCGAAACCAUAACCUCCAAGAACACUAUUUGUACCAGCAAAUCACAUAAUGAACCUCGAAUUCGUAGUAGUUGGAACACAAGUGACUAAAGUUCCGACAAAGAAACUAUUUCAAACAAGAGAAUUUAACCAUGUCCGCCAGUUAAUAUUUCAAAGUUAUAUUUCCAAAAAUGUUAUAUAGAUUAUUGCGGGACUUUUAAAUUUAUUUUUUUUGACUAAAAAAACGGGACUUUUAAGUUGACCACACAAUAACACGUCAAAUUCCACUUGUUCGAUUAAUUUUUUUUUUGGACAAAAUGCUCAAUUAGUCUCUUUAAACAACACAUUAAUAAGUCAACAACUUAAAUAAGUUAAAUUUUAAAUGCUCAACAGAUAUAUUAAAUAAUGACCAAGAGAAGUGGGUCAUUAUAUAUGCAGAGCAAAUUGCAAAUUUAAAAUUAAAUAUGUUUUAUAAAAGAAAAAUUAAAGUAAAUUAUUACUACAAAUAUAAGAAAUGACCAUAUAUAAUUGUUGACUUAUUGUAUUAGGCAUAUUGAAUUCCAAUCAGUGGUCCGUUUGCAAAAAUGUCCUCGAUCCAUAAAUACAUAUACGUACUCAUUUAAGGGGCUCAUAGUUCAUAAACUGAACUGAAUGAAUUAAACCACAUUAAUAAUUAAACCAUUUUAGUACACCCUCCGUAUCACAAUAUAUGUCAUUUUGGGAAAAAAAAUUGUACCAUAAUAUCUGUCGCUUUAUAUUAUCAAUGAAAUAUUUAAUGUUAUUUUUUUUAUUAUACCCUUAAUUAUUUAUUACUCUCUUCUUUCAAUUAUUCAAUUUAUUUUUUCCAUACCAUAAAUGAAGGACAAUUUUGUAAAUCAACUCAUAAUUUCUCUUUUCCAUACAACAUUAAUUACCUUUCUUAAUAUGUGUAAAAGUGUCAAAGCGACAUAUAUUGUGGUACGAAGGGAGUACAACACUAAUUAAAUUUUAAAAUCGUUUUGGUUUGUUUUAAAAUUGGUUCACAAUUCGUUUACAUUUAUCAAUUUAUGAACUGCUUAAAAAAAUAAUUUCACUAUUUAUCCAUUAAACAAAUAUUUUUAAAAUCCAAACCUUAUAAAAAAUAAAAAAUUUAAAAGUUGGUUUUUUGUCUCCAAUUUUAAAAAUUGUUUUUAUGGUUCCUGCAAUCACGGUCGUCCUUAAGAUUUUAGGCGUUGUCGAAAUUAUGAGAUUGGUGCCCCAUAUUUUAAGUGAUAAUUUUAAUUUUUUACACUACUAAAAAAUUGCUUUUAGUGUUAGAUUUAGAGACCGAAUUAUACCGGUGUGCACCAAUUGAUAAGCUUAUCUCUAGCUUUAUACGUCUUGAAAUGCAUUCAUAUCGUGUGUCACACCUCAUUACAAACGCGUAGGACAUAAGUCAACAGUCAGCGAACAAAGUGUCCUUUCAAUUCUGCAUGUCUGAUUUUUUAGUUAUGUUCGCAUUUAAUGAGUAGGGAUCAUCUCCCUUUCCUAAAAAAUGGUAAUGUCUAUUAUUAUAGUUUUGAAGUAAAUCAAGGGUAUAAACUAUAAAUGCUCCCUCCGGUCCUUAUUAUAAGGAACAGUUUGGAUUUUUUUUUUGGUUCUUUAUAUAAGAAACACUCCUUAAAUCUAUGCUUUAUUAAACAAGUAAUUCCUUUUAUACCCUUAUUGAAUUGAAUUGUAUACUCCAAUAUAACCUAUUCCAAUGCUUAACAUUAAUUACACACACAUUUCCUAUAAAAAAAAUUGGAGGCAAAUUUUAGUAAACAAAGGGACACGUAAAUUGGAGCCUUGUGUAUACGAGGAGUUACAUUGGAAUUAAGAAUAGUGGUUUAGUAUAUUGAUAAUUACAAGAGACAACAAUCAAUUAAGACCAAGGUUAUUUUUGGAAUUAAACAUAACAUUUUAAAAUUUUUAAUAAAAAAAAUAGGUCUCCUUGGUCUGUGUGUUUUUGUCAAACUGUUCCUUAUAAUAAGGACCGGAGGGAGUAUGAUUUUUUGAGAAUUGUUGAUAUUAUUUUAAUAUUUAUACACCUAAACUUUGGUAAUUGUAUUGUCCAUGUCCAUUUCUUAUUUUUUUUUAAGAAAUGGGGAGAAUUUCUACACUCAUAUAAUGCUCAAAUGUUUCACAGUUGGAGUCAAGAUGCUCUCCAUUUUAGGUAAACAGUUGUCAUUUGCAAAGGCUGUAGAGGAUGAUGCUCGAGUUACACAGGAGGAAAGUCGAAAUGCAAAUAUAAUAAAUUGGUCACAUUAAGCAACACAUUGUAAAGUCACCGAUAAAAAUUCAUUAAAUAUAAAGUCAAUGAUAUUGAAGUAUGACCAACAGAACCAAGGGAAGUUGGUCAUCAUAAUACACGUCAUGUAUAUACGUCAUGUAAAUAAGUUAAUAUAAAAAUCCUGUCUGAUACCUCAUCUGUACUACGAUGAGUGAAACAAUUGACUAUUAUGCAUAUUCAUACAUAUUGUUUUUACUGUAUUUUUCUAUUGUUCCAUCCGGUCCUAUAUAUAAGAAAAAGUUAAUUUUUUAAAUUCAUUGUGAAAUUGAUAUAUCUAAACAAUUAUAUAGUCUAAAUACAUUCAUUCUCCAAGGAAUCUAAAAAGUAAAAUGUUUCUUAUAUAUAGGACCGAAUGGAGUAAUAAGUAAAAAUAAAUAUUAACAUAUGAGAUGUUAGAUUCAGUUCGAUGAGUAUUUUCAAAAUAUCAAUUUUUUUUAUAAUUUUUACUAUUAUACAAUUAAUUAUAUUAAUGGUUAAAACUACACACCGACUUAUGUGAAACAGUCAACUAACUCACUCAUUGUGGGACGAAGGGAGUAGAUAGAGUGAAAAGUUUAUCUUGUAAGUGGUUUUUAGGUAAAAAAAACACUUACUUCCCCUGUUCCUUUUAUGAAUUGGGUGGAUACCCUACUUUAAGCUGGAACCUUUAGAGUUUUGGGGGAGUCAAGUUGGAUCUCGAUAUAUAGGUCAGAGGAUUGAAGGCGAUCUCUUGUUGUUUUGUCCUACCUAUGGUUGAUCCUUGUCUGUCUCAUUUUGAGAUGUAUUUUUGUUCUAGUGCUGGUGCCUUUUAGAGGCUCUAGUUUAAUUUGAUAGUGGUGCCUCCUUGUUUCGUUGUAAUUUUAUUUGCUUUUUUGUUUUCCUAUGUUACGAUAGAGAUUGUAAGCUUCUCGUGGAGUGUACUUCUGAUACCUUUUUAUUUUCUUCAACUUUCUCUUGUAAUGCUUUUGUUUAUAUAUAAUAUAUUUGUCGUUAAAAAAAAUUAUAAGUCAAAAGAUUAGAGGGCAUCAAUGAAUCUUUAGACACACCAAAUCAGUUGGUAUGUCUAAAGACCAUCAUCGUCUACCAUAAUCUCAUAAUUAGUUUCCACUAACAUUCAUGUGUGAAUGCUAACGCUAUUAUUACAACUUAUUGCUUAAAGCUUAUCUACUAUAAGUCCAUCUCCUAUAACUUCAUACAAAUAACGCUAUUACUACAACUAAUUGCUUAAAGCUUAUUUGAUAUAAGCUCAUCUCCUCUAACUUCAUACAAAUCAUAGGAAAAGGAUAAUAGAGACACCCUCUAAAAGAUACGAUUGAGCAAGAGAUCGAGAAGCAGCAAAACCUAGAAUAAACUAGGGCUAACCUAACCACCACAAAAAACUUAGGAAAAAAAGCGUUAUGUGAAAAGCAGUAUACCAACAAAUCCUAUCUCAACCUGAACAAGUGAAAAAGGAAAGGCACUUGUUGCCAAAAUGACCGAAACCAUAACCUCCAAGAACACUAUCUGUACUAGCAAAUCACAUAAUGAACCUCGAACUCGUAGUAGUAGGAACAUGAGUGACUAAAGUUCCGACAAAUAAACUAUUUCAAACAAGAGAAUUUAACCAUGUCCGCCAGUUAAUAUUUCAAAGUUAUAUUCCAAAAAUGUUAAAUAGAUUAUUGCGGGACUUUUAAAUUUUUUUUUUUUUGACUAAAAAAACGGGACUUUUAAGUUGACCACACAAUAACACGUCAAAUUCCACUUGUUGGAUUAAUAUAUAUUUUUUUUUUGGACAAAAUGCUCAAUUAGUCUCUUUAAACAACACAUUAAUAAGUCAACAAAUUAAAUAAGUUAAAUUUUAAAUGCUCAACAGAUAUAUUAAAUAAUGACCAAGAGAAGUGGGUCAUUAUAUAUGCAGAGCAAAUUGCAAAUUUAAAACUAAAUAUAUUAUAUAAAAAAAAAUUAAAGUAAAUUAUUACUACAAAUAUAAGAAAUGGUCGUAUAUAAUUGUUGAUGUUAUAAACUAUUUCUAAAGAAUAACAAGAAUAUAGAAGGAGAAGAGAAUGAGAGAAGAGAAAGGAAUAGACCAUUGUUAUUAUUCUAUUCACAAGUGUGUGUAUACAUGACAAUAUAGGUCUUAUUUAUAGGACAAUAUAAUGGGCCAAUGCUUAAUGGGCAUCCACCUAAUUAUUCAUAACACUCCCCCUUGGAUGUCCAUCGAGGAUAUGCCUCAUUAAAACCUUACUAGAGAAAAACCUAUUGGGAAACAAUUCUAGUGAAGGAAAAAGAGUACAUAGUCUUUUGUGUGUGAACUGCCUCAUUAAAAACCUUACCAGGAAAACCCAGUGGGAUAAAACCAUGGUGAAGGGAAAAAGAGUGCAGAACAUAUUUAUAUCUCCCCCUGAUAAAUACAAAAUAUAUCUAAGAAGAAAAAUGUCAAAUAAUCUUCAAUAUUAGUUGCUCCAAAGCUUUGACGAUUAGUGAUAACGUGUUGACAAUCUUCUAUCUUCGUUAUUAUAUUCUUCUUCAAAUUAGCGUGUUUGUNNNNNNNNNNNNNNNNNNNNNNNNNNNNNNNNNNNNNNNNNNNNNNNNNNNNNNNNNNNNNNNUAAUGACCAAGAGAAGUGGGUCAUUAUAUAUGCAGAGCAAAUUGCAAAUUUAAAACUAAAUAUAUUAUAUAAAAAAAAAUUAAAGUAAAUUAUUACUACAAAUAUAAGAAAUGGUCGUAUAUAAUUGUUGACUAAUUGUAUUAGGCAUAUUGAAUUCCAAUCAGUGGUCCGUUUGCAAAAAUGUCCUCGAUCCAUAAAUACAUAUACGUACUCAUUUAAGGGGCUCAUAGUUCAUAAACUGAACUGAAUGAAUUAAACCACAUUAAUAAUUAAAUCAUUUUAGUACACCCUCCGUAUCACAAUAUAUGUCAUUUUGGGAAAAAAAAUUGUACCAUAAUAUCUGUCGCUUUAUAUUAUCAAUGAAAUAUUUAAUGUUAUUUUUUUUAUUAUACCCUUAAUUAUUUAUUACUCUCUUCUUUCAAUUAUUCAAUUUAUUUUUUCCAUACCAUAAAUGAAGGAUAAUUUUGUAAAUCAACCCAUAAUUUGUCUUUUUCAUACAACAUUAAUUACCUUUCUUAAUAUGCGUAAAAGUGUCAAAACGACAUAUAUUGUGGUACAGAGAGAGUACAACACUAAUUAAAUUUUAAAAUUGAUUUGGUUUGGUUUGAAAUCAGUUCACAAUUGGUUUACAUUUAUGAACUGCUUAAAAUAAUAAUUUCACUAUUUAUCCAUUAAACAAAUAUUUUUAAAAUCCGAACCUUAUAAAAAACAAAAAUUUUAAAAGUUGGUUUUUUGUCUCCAAUUUUAAAAAUUGAUCACGGUCGUCCUUAAGAUUUUAGGCGUUGUCGAAAUUAUGAGAUUGGUGCCCCAUAUUUUUUUAAGUGACAAUUUUAAUUUUUUACGCUACUAAAAAAUUGCUUUUAGUGUUAGAUUUAGAGACCGAAUUAUUUUGGUCACUUUAGAGACCGAAUUAUACUAGUGUGUACCAAUGGAUAAGCUUAUCUCUAGCUUUAUACGUCUUGAAAUUAUAACUGCAUUCAUAUCGUGUGUCACACCUCAUUACAAACGCGUAGGACAUAAGUCAACAUUCAGCGAACAAAGUGUCCUUUCAAUUCUGCAUGUCUGAUUUUUUAGUUAUGUUCGCAUUUAUUGAGUAGGGAUCAUCUCCCUUUCUUAAAAAAAAUGGUAAUGUCUAUUAUUAUAGUUUUGAAGUAAAUCAAGGAUAUAAACUAUAAAUAUGAUUUUUUGAGAAUUGUUGAUAUUAUUUUAAUAUUUAUACACCUAAACUUUAGUAAUUGCAUUGUCCAUAUCCAUUUCUUUUAAGAAAUGGAGAGAAUUUCUACUCGCAUAUAAUGCUCAAAUGUUGCACAGUUGGAGUCAAGAUGCUCUCCGUUUUAGGUAAACAGUUGUCAUUUGCAAAGGCUGUAGAGGAUGAUUCUCGAGUUACACAGGAGGAUCGUCGAACAUCAAAUCAAGGAACAAGGAAUUUGGAGUGACUAACACCAUGGUCAUCGAGACUAGCUAUGAGGAAGAUGAUCAUCUGACAAGAUGGAUGACUCUUUGUCGACAUCCUAGACCUAAAUUAUUAUUAAAUUAUGUUUUAUUUUGAGACUCAUGGGUUGAUGUAAUUUAUUUAUGUCAAACUGGAUUGAAGUUAUAUAAAAGUUAUUAAAUUUUGGUAAAUUAUAUCAUUAUUAUGACAAAUAAGUGACAUUAUAGUUGGUAAUUUGUGAAGCAAAAAUAGCAUAAUCUAAUUAGAUAUAUUACGUACCGACAACAAAGCUGUGAAUAAAUUUGUCCCAACAAAUAGGAUUAGUCGUGGGUAAAUCGAGACAAAUAAUUAAGUGGUGGUUUAGGUGAAAAAUUUAUAUGUAUGUCUUACUAAGAACAAAUGGAAAGUAAAUCGAGUGACAUAUUUAUUACAAAUAACAAAAGAAACCAAACAACCACACACAUCUUACAUUGAUGUCGUAAAAUAAAACAUGAAGAAAACAAGAUAUAAAAAACCACAAGAUGUGCGGCAAACUAGCAAGAUCUAGCUAGCUAGCCUAGCACACUUAUUAGCACACACAUACUCAUGACAUUACAUUGAGUUGAAAAAUUUAAAUAGCAUGAUUUUCUGCAUGCAUGCAUGCAUGAUGAUAUAUUAUAUUAUGCGCUUAAGAGCAGGCCACUCAGUACGGAUUUUCCUGAUAAAACCAAUAAACUCACUAGUUACAAGAUUGAAAUGUGCAUAGUAUUCUCCUUUGAAAAUGUAAACUUCAUUCCUAUCGUGAGUAUUAAAAGCUGCAUCAAGUCCGAAUUCNNNNNNNNNNNNNNNNNNNNNNNNNNNNNNNNNNNNNNNNNNNNNNNACUUUGGCACAUUGAUCUCCUUUGAAGAAGAAUGUGUCAUUUCCAUCAUUGUCAAAGGAACCAUCUAUUCCAAUUGCAAAUGGGGUGUUUGCAAACAUUGGAAAUCCAUCAGCAAUAUGAAUUGGACCACCGAUAACUCUAGUUU